Molecule: ribosomal RNA, 497 nt
Filed under: uncultured bacterium
Lineage: Bacteria
Description: partial 16S ribosomal RNA
Rfam family: Bacterial small subunit ribosomal RNA
Source: RNAcentral
GAUGAACGCUGGCGGCGUGCCUAAUACAUGCAAGUCGAGCGAACAGACGAGGAGCUUGCUCCUCUGACGUUAGCGGCGGACGGGUGAGUAACACGUGGAUAACCUACCUAUAAGACUGGGAUAACUUCGGGAAACCGGAGCUAAUACCGGAUAAUAUAUUGAACCGCAUGGUUCAAUAGUGAAAGACGGUUUUGCUGUCACUUAUAGAUGGUUCCGCGCCGCAUUAGCUAGUUGGUAAGGUAACGGCUUACCAAGGCAACGAUGCGUAGCCGACCUGAGAGGGUGAUCAGCCACACUGGAACUGAGACACGGUCCAGACUCCUACGGGAGGCAGCAGUAGGGAAUCUUCCGCAAUGGGCGAAAGCCUGACGGAGCAACGCCGCGUGAGUGAUGAAGGUCUUCGGAUCGUAAAACUCUGUUAUUAGGGAAGAACAAAUGUGUAAGUAACUAUGCACGUCUUGACGGUACCUAAUCAGAAAGCCACGGCUAACUACGUG